GACGAACCGUGCGAACGUUGUUCGGAAUCACUGGGCUUAAAGGGCGCGUAGGCGGGCUGUUAAGUCUGGGGUGAAAUCCUCCGGCUCAACCGGAGAACGGCCUGGGAUACUGGUGGUCUGGAGGGAGGUAGAAGCGUGCGGAACUCGGGGUGGAGCGGUGAAAUGCGUUGAUAUCCUGAGGAACUCCGAUGGCGAAGGCGGCACGCUGGACCUUUUCUGACGCUGAGGCGCGAAAGCCAGGGGAGCAAACGGG
RNAcentral lists this ribosomal RNA (253 nucleotides) under uncultured bacterium. RNAcentral describes it as "partial 16S ribosomal RNA". It matches the Rfam family "Bacterial small subunit ribosomal RNA", at positions 524 to 776 of the family's 1533-position model. The record is from RNAcentral.